GAACGAACGCUGGCGGCGCGUUUUAAGCAUGCAAGUCGGACGGCAAGCACUGUAGCAAUAUGGUGCCUAGAGUGGCGAACGGGUGAGUAACACGUAGGUGAUCUGCCUUUGGAUGGGGGAUAGCCCGUGGAAACACGGGGUAAUACCGCAUGAGGCCUUGGGGGUAAAGCCCUGAGGUGAAAGGUGCAAUUGCACCGUCUGGGGAUGAGCCUGCGGUCCAUUAGUUAGUUGGCGGGGUAAGAGCCCACCAAGACGACGAUGGAUAGCCGGCCUGAGAGGGUGUACGGCCACACUGGAACUGAGACACGGUCCAGACUCCUACGGGAGGCAGCAGCUAAGAAUCUUCCGCAAUGGGGGCAACCCUGACGGAGCGACGCCGCGUGGAUGAUGAAGGCCGUAAGGUUGUAAAAUCCUUUUGUCGGUGAAGAAUAAGGAGGGGAGUGGAAAGCCCCUCUGAUGACGUUAGCCGGCGAAUAAGCCCCGGCCAAUUACGUGCCAGCAGCCGCGGUAAUACGUAUGGGGCAAGCGUUGUUCGGAGUUAUUGGGCGUAAAGGGCGUGUAGGCGGCUCAUCAAGUCUGGUGUGAAAUCGCAAGGCUCAACCUUGCAUAUGCGCUGGAAACUGGUGGGCUUGAGUUCUUGAGGGGAAGCUGGAAUUCCAGGUGUAGGGGUGAAAUCUGUAGAUAUCUGGAAGAACACCGGUGGCGAAGGCGAGCUUCUAUCAGAGGACUGACGCUGAGGCGCGAAAGCGUGGGGAGCAAACAGGAUUAGAUACCCUGGUAGUCCACGCUGUAAACGAUGUGCACUAGGCGUGGGGCCCGUACGGGUUCUGUGCCGUAGUUAACGUGAUAAGUGCACCGCCUGGGGAGUA
Molecule: ribosomal RNA, 869 nt
Filed under: uncultured bacterium
Lineage: Bacteria
Description: bacterial SSU rRNA
Rfam family: Bacterial small subunit ribosomal RNA
Source: RNAcentral